CAUGGAAGUGUGGUCUUCUAUGACAACAUCAUUCAUGUCUUCCUCUGCUCUAGCCUUGACAUCGCGUGCAAGUACGAGGACAAUGAUGCACCAUUGUAGCCCACCACUUGUUGUUUGCACGGUCAUACACUGGCAGUGGCAUGGAUGGUGUCCUGGUGCAAUCAGGGCUACAAUCAGUCUCAGGAAAAGAUGUAAAUGAGCACACAAU
Lolium rigidum is the source of this 208-nucleotide long non-coding RNA. RefSeq lists it as uncharacterized. The transcript is spliced from 3 exons. NCBI's taxonomy places the organism in Eukaryota, Viridiplantae, Streptophyta, Magnoliopsida, Poales, Poaceae. The record is from RefSeq and is a predicted model, not a curated record.